RNAcentral lists this transfer-messenger RNA (361 nucleotides) under Halospina denitrificans. RNAcentral's name for it is "Standard tmRNA". It matches the Rfam family "transfer-messenger RNA". From Rfam's summary of the family: Bacterial tmRNA, also known as 10Sa RNA or SsrA, is named for its dual tRNA and mRNA-like properties. Its role is to liberate the mRNA from a stalled ribosome. To accomplish this part of the tmRNA is used as a reading frame that ends in a translation stop signal. Lineage: Bacteria; Pseudomonadati; Pseudomonadota; Gammaproteobacteria. The record is from RNAcentral.
GGGGACGAUCCGGAUUCGACGCUGGUGACAAAACCCGAGGUGCAUGCCGAGAUGACAGCGAAUCUCGUAAAAUCAAAGCUGUGCUAAAGAUAGUUGCAAACGACGACAACUACGCACUGGCGGCAUAAAACCCGCUAGUCUGCCUAGCCGGGGUGCUUGUUCCCCGCGCGUUCAGGCAGUCAUAGAAAACAAGCUCGCUACCGCGUAUUGCUCUAUACGCUGUAGUUAAAACCCGAAGAGCUCGCCCCUUGCACCCUGACCUUUGGGUCGCCUGGGGUUAAAGCAAUAAAAGGAAGCUAAGCAUGUAGAGCCGAGGGCGGAGUACCGGCGGACGCGGGUUCAACUCCCGCCGUCUCCACCA